RNAcentral lists this transfer RNA (73 nucleotides) under Bacilli bacterium. RNAcentral's name for it is "tRNA-Thr". It matches the Rfam family "tRNA". Rfam says of the family: Transfer RNA (tRNA) molecules are approximately 80 nucleotides in length. Their secondary structure includes four short double-helical elements and three loops (D, anti-codon, and T loops). The record is from RNAcentral. Lineage: Bacteria; Bacillati; Bacillota; Bacilli.
UCCGACGUAGCUCAAAUGAUAGAGCAGCUGUCCUGUAAACAGCAUUAUGGAAGUUUGACUCUUCCCGUCGGAU